ACGAUGUACAUUAGUUGUUGUGAGGCUAGACCUUGCAGUAAUGCAGUUAACACAUUAAAUGUACCGCCUGGGGAGUACGGUCGCAAGAUUAAAACUCAAAGGAAUAGACGGGGACCCGCACAAGCGGUGGAGCAUGUGGUUUAAUUCGACUAUACGCGAAGAACCUUACCUGGCCUUGACAUAGUUAGAACCUAAUAGAGAUAUAAGGGUGCUAGUUUACUAGAGCUAACAUACAGGUGCUGCACGGCUGUCGUCAGCUCUCGUGAGAUGUUGGGUUAAGUCCCGCAACGAGCGCAACCCUCGUGUUUAGUUGCUAACAGGUUAAGCUGAGGACUCUAGACAGACUGCCUGGGUAACCAGGAGGAAGGUGAGGACGACUUCAAGUCAUCAUGGCCCUUACGGCCAGGGCUACACACGUGCUACAAUGGGGUAUACAAAGAGCAGCGAUACCGCGAGGUGGAGCAAAUCUCAUAAAAUAUCUCCCAGUUCGGAUUACACUCUGCAACUCGAGUGUAUGAAGUUGGAAUCGCUAGUAAUCGUAGAUCUCAACUCUACGGUGAAUACGUUCCCGGGUCUUGUACUCACCGCCC
This 590-nucleotide ribosomal RNA is filed under the name uncultured Campylobacterota bacterium. RNAcentral describes it as "bacterial SSU rRNA". It matches the Rfam family "Bacterial small subunit ribosomal RNA", at positions 806 to 1395 of the family's 1533-position model. Lineage: Bacteria; Pseudomonadati; Campylobacterota. The record is from RNAcentral.